This 339-nucleotide unclassified non-coding RNA is filed under the name soil metagenome. RNAcentral's name for it is "partial contains 5.8S ribosomal RNA, internal transcribed spacer 2, and large subunit ribosomal RNA". The stretch from base 1 to 120 matches the Rfam family "5.8S ribosomal RNA", at positions 35 to 154 of the family's 154-position model. The record is from RNAcentral.
GAUGAAGAACGUAGCGAAAUGCGAUAAGUAGUGUGAAUUGCAGAAUUCAGUGAAUCAUCGAAUCUUUGAACGCACAUUGCGCCCCUCGGUAUUCCGUGGGGCAUGCCUGUUCGAGCGUCAUUUAACCCCUCAAGCCUAGCUUGGUAUUGGGUGCUUGUCCCGCCUCUCGCGCGGCGACUCACCUCAAAGUCAUUGGCAGCCCGCAUCUCGCCGGCCGUGAGCGCAGCACAGACGCGCUCUUGGCAACGACGGAUCGGCUCUCCAAAAGCUUAUUUCAACCACUGACCUCGGAUCAGGUAGGGAUACCCGCUGAACUUAAGCAUAUCAAUAAGCGGUGGA